Molecule: ribosomal RNA, 253 nt
Filed under: uncultured bacterium
Lineage: Bacteria
Description: partial 16S ribosomal RNA
Rfam family: Bacterial small subunit ribosomal RNA
Source: RNAcentral
UACGGAGGGUGCGAGCGUUGUCCGGAAUCACUGGGCGUAAAGGGCGCGUAGGCGGCCUGAUAAGUAGGGGGUGAAAUCCUGCGGCUUAACCGCAGGGCUGCCUUCUAAACUGUCAGGCUCGAGCACAGUAGAGGCAGUUGGAAUUCCCGGUGUAGCGGUGGAAUGCGUAGAGAUCGGGAAGAACAUCAGUGGCGAAGGCGGCCUGCUGGGCUGUUGCUGACGCUGAGGCGCGACAGCGUGGGGAGCAAACAGG